AUGGGCAAGGGCAAGGUCCACCCGUCGCCGUCGCCGUCGGCGGCCGGCGGCGAGACGGCGGAGGGGGUGCUCCUCCGGCUGCUCCCCGCGGUCGUGCUCGCCAUGGCGGCGCCGCUGGGGCCCGAGGGGAAGGAGGUGCUCGCGUACCUCGUCCUCGCCUCGCUGCGCUCCUCGGCGCCGCCCACGCCGGCGAGGGAGGAGCCCUCCGCGGCCGGGGAGGGGUGCGGGCGGAAGCCCCACCGCCCGGAGCUCGGGUGCGGGUGCUUCGGGUGCUACACGGCCUACUGGUCGCGCUGGGACGGGUCCCCGGAGCGCGACCGCGAGGCGAUUCACCGGGCCAUCGAGGCCUUCGACGAGCACCUGGCCCGGAAGGAGGAGGGCAAGGGUGGCCGCCGCCGCAAGAAGCGAGCAGCCUCCUCCAAGGGCAAGGCCAAGGCGUCGGCCGCCGUUGACCCUCAGCUGCCGGAGCAGGGGGAGACCUCGGCCGCCGCGGCUCCUGUGCUGGCGGAGGUGGUUGAAGGCGGGGAGGAGGUAGUGAAGAAGACGGUGGAGGAGGAGGAAGAAACCACCGCGGCCUGCGCCCGCGACGACGUUCCGGAGGAGCGCAGGCGGCGGGUGUGGGGCGCGGUCGCCGGCGUGUUCAACUGGAGGGGAUGGGGCCUGUGGGGGUCCCACUAG
This 678-nucleotide ribosomal RNA is filed under the name Triticum aestivum (bread wheat). RNAcentral's name for it is "partial small subunit ribosomal RNA". Lineage: Eukaryota; Viridiplantae; Streptophyta; Magnoliopsida; Poales; Poaceae. The record is from RNAcentral.